GUCCCACCCACCCUGCCCCCAGGAACCUAGGGGUUUCAGAACAGCCUGAAUCAGGCUCCUGAAAUCUGACUCAGAGUUUGCCAGUAAGGAGUUGCUUCUAGAGAGGCUCUGAGAAUGGUUUUAGGUUGAUUCCUGAAGGCCUGAGAGAAGAGAGACAGCUUUGGGAAUGUUCUAGAAUGAGUAGAAGACAGUACGACAGGCUGGGGUAUUUGUGGCACUCUGUUCUAGAGCCGGGGUUGGCAAAUUACUGUCUGUGGACCAACUCUGGCCCACACCUGUUCUGGUAUGUCUUGUGUGCUACAAUGGCUUUUGUAUUUGUAAGUGCUUGGAAAACCCAAAAGAAGCGCAGCAUUUCUUGACACGUGAAAAUAAUAAUGCAAUUCAAGUUUCUGUGUCCACAAAUAAAGUUUUAUUGGGGCACCAUCAUAUCUAUUCGUUUAUAUAUUGUCUCUGGUGGUUUUUGUGUUGCAACAGAGACCACCUGUCCCACAAAAUAAAAAUAAUUUACUGUUUGGCCCUUUGCAGGAAAGUUCGCUAAUCCCUGCUCCAAAGGCAUGGGAAGAACCAGUUUUGACCAUCUGGAAUAUUCUAGAAUUUCCCCCAAAACUAUCUGAGGCUCUAUGUCAAAAGCAAAGUCUAUGGUUGUAAAAAGAGGAGAUGGUUUAGACCUAUAGUUCCAAGAAGGUUCUAGAGUUGUUGGUGGAGUUAUAACUCACCUAGGGAGUUCCAGAACUGGGCAUUGUGCCUGUGGUUCUAGGUGAAGGGAACCUGGGCUCCUGUGUGUUCUGGAAUGAUGAACAGAGCUGUAUGGUUCUAGUCAGACUGGAAGUUCUAGAACCAUAGGGCGAAUAGAAAGUCUCUGUGGCUCUAGACCAGUAGGAGAUAUCCUAGAACUAAGCAGAGCUGUCCAAUUCUAAAGGAGUCAUCAGAAAGUUCUAGAGGGGUGCCAUACAAAAUAAACACAGUGUGAGCUAUAUAUGACUUGAGGUUUUCUAGUUAUGGCUCUGGCUGGGUAAACCACUGGGUUAGAGCAUCGUCCUGAUACUUUGCCAAGAUUGUGGAUUCGAUCCCCAGUCAGGGCACACAUAAGAAUCAACCAAUGAAUGCAUAAAUAAGUGGAACAGCAAAAUCAUUGUUUCUCUCUUUUUCUCUCUCUCAAAUCUAUAAAUUAAAAAUGUAUAUAUUUUCUAAUUUUAAA
Long non-coding RNA from Myotis daubentonii (Daubenton's bat), 1198 nucleotides. RefSeq lists it as uncharacterized. The record is from RefSeq and is a predicted model, not a curated record. NCBI's taxonomy places the organism in Eukaryota, Metazoa, Chordata, Mammalia, Chiroptera, Vespertilionidae.